UACGGAGGGUGCAAGCGUUGCUCGGAAUUAUUGGGCGUAAAGGGCAGGUAGGUGGUCUCAUUUGUCUGGGGUGAAAGCCUUGAGCUUAACUCAAGAAGUGCCCCAGAAACGGUGAGACUGGAGUCCUGGAGAGGGUCGUGGAAUUCCCGGUGUAGCGGUGAAAUGCGUAGAGAUCGGGAGGAACACCAGAGGCGAAGGCGGCGACCUGGACAGGUACUGACACUCAACUGCGAAAGCGUGGGGAGCAAACAGG
RNAcentral lists this ribosomal RNA (253 nucleotides) under uncultured bacterium. RNAcentral describes it as "partial 16S ribosomal RNA". It matches the Rfam family "Bacterial small subunit ribosomal RNA", at positions 524 to 776 of the family's 1533-position model. The record is from RNAcentral.